GGUUGUAGCUCAGUGGUGGAGCACUUGCCUCACAAGUAUAAGCCACUGGAUUUGAUCCUUAGCACCACAUAAAAAUAAAAUAAAUAAAGGCAUUCGGUCCAUCUAUAACUAAAAAAUAUAUAUAACAAAUUAUAUGAAACAAAAAUUAAAAACAGAUACAUGGGCACAUGACAGGCUUGGAGAAUAGCUCUGUGGCUAAGUACAUGCCUAGAAUGAGAGUACCUGGGUUUGAUCCCCAGCACAGCA
This 246-nucleotide transfer RNA is filed under the name Marmota monax (woodchuck). RNAcentral's name for it is "tRNA.Val". The record is from RNAcentral. Lineage: Eukaryota; Metazoa; Chordata; Mammalia; Rodentia; Sciuridae.